RNAcentral lists this ribosomal RNA (512 nucleotides) under uncultured bacterium. RNAcentral describes it as "partial 16S ribosomal RNA". It matches the Rfam family "Bacterial small subunit ribosomal RNA", at positions 28 to 507 of the family's 1533-position model. The record is from RNAcentral.
GAUGAACGCUGGCGGCGUGCCUAAUACAUGCAAGUCGAACGAAACUUCUUUAUCACCGAGUGCUUGCACUCACCGAUAAAGAGUUGAGUGGCGAACGGGUGAGUAACACGUGGGCAACCUGCCCAAAAGAGGGGGAUAACACUUGGAAACAGGUGCUAAUACCGCAUAACCAUAGUUACCGCAUGGUAACUAUGUAAAAGGUGGCUAUACUACCGCUUUUGGAUGGGUCCGCGGCGCAUUAGCUAGUUGGUAGGGUAAAGGCUUACCAAGGCAAUGAUGCGUAGCCGAAUUGAGAGGUUGAUCGGCCACAUUGGGACUGAGACACGGCCCAAACUCCUACGGGAGGCAGCAGUAGGGAAUCUUCCACAAUGGGCGAAAGCCUGAUGGAGCAACACCGCGUGGGUGAAGAAGGUCUUCGGAUCGUAAAACCCUGUUGUUAGAGAAGAAAGUGCGUGAGAGUAACUGUUCACGUUUCAACGGUAUCUAACCAGAAAGCCACGGCUAACUACGUG